CCAAGGAUCACUGUAUUUAUUGCUAACCUACUGUUUGUCUGGGACAGCAGGAUAAUGAGCUGCUAAUGAACUUGGUCCAUGAUUUUCACUUAGCACAGGUUUACUUUGAGAUUUUUAUUUUUUUUAUGACCUCAGAAAGUUUUUAGGUAUAUAGUUAAUGAUGUUAUGUCAAUGCACAUACCGUGUAAUUUUAUAUUCCCUCUAACAGAAUAUAAGUAAUACUUCCAAGCUCCCCAUCUCAUUUUCAGACCAGGAGGCCUCUACCUCGUUGUUGUGUUGUUUCUAGCUGUGCAUAUAGAUUGACAGCAGAAAUCAUUUUGACCAUUAAGAAACAGCAUCUGUUUCUGAAGUGCAGCCAAGUCCUGAAAUGAAAGAGCAAACAUUAGCAGUGUAUAAUCAGGUUCCCAGCAGUCCAGGAGAAGAAGCAACAAAUAUCUCAUUUACCUGGACCUGCAGGAGCUCCUGGAAGGAACCUCAAGUGAGUUCUCCUGUGCAAAAAAAUGGGCAUAGGUGUGCCUACAACCACAGCACUUGGGUGUAAUUUUCAUGUUUCAUCCCUAAAUCUUUCCUUUUGGCAAAACAGUACAUUUUGAUGGUUUGCUUAUGAGUUCACUGGUGACAAGGACAGACCAUCACUGGCCAAAUCCUCCCCCUAAAGCUAUGCCUAACUGUUCAGUGAAGCUAGGGUUACUUGUUUAAGUUUUGCUGAAAUCAAGUGGAUAUUUUUCCCAAGAGCCAUUCACCAAGAAGAGCUGUGCUGCGUCCAGAUGUGGAAGGGACUGCCUCAUGCAUGUGCCUACCCAUCCUUUAGCAUCUGUGGACGGAAGGGUGAAGAACCUUAACCUGGCAGCAUGGAAGAGACUGGGAAAUUGGUGCUACUUACAACCAGCCAGACGUGAUGCACGAGGAAAUGUAAAAAAGCAAAGAAAAUGCAAUGGAAAUGCAUGUCAUGGUUCUCUGUUGACACUGCAUGAAGACAACGCAUGAAAAACAUGAGGAGGUGUGAUGGCUGGUUGAGAUAAGCUGGGAGAUCAGGAGGCACCUGAGAACCUCACCCCCACGCUGCAGACAGGUGAUGUUUUGCAGGAGAGAGGUCUGCUUCUUCCUUUCCUCUCCGCUGAGCAAGGUUAGAUUUAGAUCUUAUCUGAAAGCAGACUCUGUAUUGCUUUAAUGACAGGCACAAUCCCUGGG
RNAcentral lists this long non-coding RNA (1191 nucleotides) under Anser brachyrhynchus (Pink-footed goose). RNAcentral describes it as "lncRNA (ENSABRG00000015672.1)". The record is from RNAcentral. Lineage: Eukaryota; Metazoa; Chordata; Aves; Anseriformes; Anatidae.